RNAcentral lists this ribosomal RNA (492 nucleotides) under uncultured bacterium. Its description in RNAcentral is "partial 16S ribosomal RNA". It matches the Rfam family "Bacterial small subunit ribosomal RNA", at positions 29 to 507 of the family's 1533-position model. The record is from RNAcentral.
AGUGAACGCUGGCGGUAGGCCUAACACAUGCCAGUCGAACGGCAGCACAGUAAGAGCUUGCUCUUACGGGUGGCGAGUGGCGGACGGGUGAGGAAUACAUCGGAAUCUACUUUUUCGUGGGGGAUAACGUAGGGAAACUUACGCUAAUACCGCAUACGACCUACGGGUGAAAGCAGGGGAUCUUCGGACCUUGCGCGAUUGAAUGAGCCGAUGUCGGGUUAGCUAGUUGGCGGGGUAAAGGCCAACCAAGGCGACGAUCCGUAGCUGGUGUGAGAGGAUGAUAGGCCACACUGGAACGGGGACACGGUCCAGACGCCUACGGGAGGCAGCAGUGGGGAAUAUUGGACAAUGGGCGCAAGCCUGAUCCAGCCAUACCGCGUGGGUGAAGAAGGCCUUCGGGUUGUAAAGCCCUCUUGUUGGGAAAGAAAAGCAGCAGGUUAAUACCCCGCUGUUCUGACGGUACCCAAAGAAUAAGCACCGGCUAACUUCGUG